UACGUAGGGUGCAAGCGUUAAUCGGAAUUACUGGGCGUAAAGCGUGCGCAGGCGGUUAUGUAAGACAGUUGUGAAAUCCCCGGGCUCAACCUGGGAACUGCAUCUGUGACUGCAUAGCUAGAGUACGGUAGAGGGGGAUGGAAUUCCGCGUGUAGCAGUGAAAUGCGUAGAUAUGCGGAGGAACACCGAUGGCGAAGGCAAUCCCCUGGACCUGUACUGACGCUCAUG
This 228-nucleotide ribosomal RNA is filed under the name uncultured bacterium. RNAcentral's name for it is "partial 16S ribosomal RNA". It matches the Rfam family "Bacterial small subunit ribosomal RNA", at positions 524 to 751 of the family's 1533-position model. The record is from RNAcentral.